GAUAAACGCUAGCGGCAGGCUUAACACGUGCAAGUCGAGGGGCAGCAUAGAUUGUAGCAAUACAAUUGGUGGCGACCGGCGCACGGGUGCGUAACGCGUAUGCAACCUACCCGUCACAGGGGGAUAAUCCGGAGAAAUCAGGUCUAAUACCCCAUAACAUAUGGAUCGGCAUCGGUUCAUGUUGAAAUUUUCGGAGGUGACGGAUGGGCAUGCGUAGCAUUAGCUUGUUGGUGAGGUAACGGCUCACCGAGGCGACGAUGCUUAGGGGGACUGAGAGGUUUUCCCCCCACACUGGUACUGAGACACGGACCAGACUCCUACGGGAGGCAGCAGUGAGGAAUAUUGGUCAAUGGGCGCAAGCCUGAACCAGCCAUGCCGCGUGCAGGAUGACGGCUCUUUGAGUUGUAAACUGCUUUUGUACGAGGGUAAAGUGGGUUACGUGUAACCUUUUGAAAGUAUCGUACGAAUAAGGAUCGGCUAACUCCGUGCCAGCCGCCGCGGUAA
This 504-nucleotide ribosomal RNA is filed under the name uncultured bacterium. RNAcentral describes it as "partial 16S ribosomal RNA". It matches the Rfam family "Bacterial small subunit ribosomal RNA", at positions 28 to 523 of the family's 1533-position model. The record is from RNAcentral.